Molecule: long non-coding RNA, 535 nt
Organism: Lolium perenne
Lineage: Eukaryota; Viridiplantae; Streptophyta; Magnoliopsida; Poales; Poaceae
Source: RefSeq, a predicted model, not a curated record
UCUGCAAUUGGCCUGUUACACUUGAUUCUGUUGUUGUCCAGGGGUACUUUUCUUCGUAUACCUCUACAUUUAUUUGGAAUAUAUGCAGAUAUGUACCUCUAAAGAAGAGAUAUCUCGGUGUGAUCAUGAAAGUGAGAAGUUGAUUCAAUGCAUGUUCAUCUACCGAGGUCCUUCUGUUAGUUGGAGUUAUGGCUACUCUUUUCGCCUUCACCGUCCUCUUGAGAGAGUCUUCAUUUCGCCAGGUUUUGGAGAUAAAGAUCAUUAGCUGCUACGAGCUAAGACUUCAUACAUAUAUACUUUUCUUUCCUCCUAGCAUCAAUAUUACAAUAAUCAUUGAUAUGUGGUCCAAACUGGAAAGGUCACAUUAUCGGAGAAGGGUAGAGAAGGAUCGGCAGAACAUGAAUGGGCUACAUGCCCAUCUAUUUUUGUGAUUCAAGAGGUGGCCGCCUCCCUAUCUACCUCUCGGAAGUGGCCGCCGUGGUACUUGAUCGUGGCCAAGCGAUUCAGCACCGAGGUCAUCGACCUCACCAAAGAG